CCUACGGGUGGCAGCAGUGAGGAAUAUUGGUCAAUGGUCGGGAGACUGAACCAGCCAAGCCGCGUGAGGGAGGAAGGUACCGAGUAUUGUAAACCUCUUUUGUCAGGGAACAAAGGCGGGGACGUGUCCCUGGACGAGUGUACUUGAAGAAAAAGCAUCGGCUAACUCCGUGCCAGCAGCCGCGGUAAUACGGAGGAUGCGAGCGUUAUCCGGAUUUAUUGGGUUUAAAGGGUGCGCAGGCGGGCUGUUAGGUCAGCGGUCAAAGCCCGGGGCUCAACCCCGGCCCGCCGUUGAAACUGGCUGUCUGGAGUUGGAGAGAAGGAUGCGGGAUGAGCGG
RNAcentral lists this ribosomal RNA (337 nucleotides) under uncultured bacterium. RNAcentral describes it as "partial 16S ribosomal RNA". It matches the Rfam family "Bacterial small subunit ribosomal RNA", at positions 338 to 673 of the family's 1533-position model. The record is from RNAcentral.